UUCCACAAGUUAAUCUGCAUUCCUGGUGGGAUGGUGCCACCGUGGGGGGUGAGAUCCCCUCCACUGGGCUGUUCAGUGGCACCUGAACGUGGAGAUGCUGCUGGCUCAGCUGGUGGACUUGAUGAUCUUAAAAGGCUUUUCCAGUCUUGAGGAUUCAAGGAUUCUGUGAUUUUACGAUUUGUUUUGAAGUGAAAAAGGAACAUCCCAGAUGGGAAUUCGGCCCUGCUGAUUAUGCCUUAUCCUGCCCCGUUUCCCAGGCCAAGGUCUGAGACACCAGGCAGGGAGGAAUGAAUUAAUUAACUUUCACCAACAAAGGGAUUUACCC
Molecule: long non-coding RNA, 325 nt
Organism: Lepidothrix coronata (blue-crowned manakin)
Lineage: Eukaryota; Metazoa; Chordata; Aves; Passeriformes; Pipridae
Exons: 3
Source: RefSeq, a predicted model, not a curated record